CCUACGGGUGGCUGCAGUGGGGGAUCUUUCACAAUGGGGGAAACUCUGAUGCAGCGACGCCGCGUGAGGGAUGACGGUCUUCGGGUUGUAAACCGCUGUCUUUGGGGAGGAAAAUGACGGUAACUAAUGAGUAAGCUCCGGCUAACUACGUGUCAGCAGCCGCGGUAAUACGUAGGAAGCGAGCGUUGUCCGGAAUUACUGGGUGUAAAGGGUGCGUAGGGGGGCGAGAAAGGUGAAUGUUAAAUCGACCCGCUACAAUGCUAGCUGCGUUUAAAACUUCUUGUCUUGAGUGAAGUAGAGGCAGCCGGAAUUCCUAGUGUAGCGGUGAAAUGCGUAGAUAUUAGGAGGAACACCAGUGGCGUAGGCGGGCUGCUGGGA
RNAcentral lists this ribosomal RNA (378 nucleotides) under uncultured bacterium. RNAcentral's name for it is "partial 16S ribosomal RNA". It matches the Rfam family "Bacterial small subunit ribosomal RNA", at positions 338 to 734 of the family's 1533-position model. The record is from RNAcentral.